AAGAUACUCCCUCCGUCCGAAAAUACUUGUCGUAGAAAUGGAUGUAUCUAGACUUAUUUUAGUUAAAGAUACAUCCAUUGUAUACAUUUUUAAGACAAGUAUUUACGGACGGAGGGAGUAUAAG
This 124-nucleotide microRNA precursor is filed under the name Hordeum vulgare. RNAcentral describes it as "microRNA MIR1122". It matches the Rfam family "MIR1120/MIR1122 microRNA precursor family". Lineage: Eukaryota; Viridiplantae; Streptophyta; Magnoliopsida; Poales; Poaceae. The record is from RNAcentral.